RNAcentral lists this ribosomal RNA (486 nucleotides) under uncultured bacterium. RNAcentral describes it as "partial 16S ribosomal RNA". It matches the Rfam family "Bacterial small subunit ribosomal RNA", at positions 28 to 507 of the family's 1533-position model. The record is from RNAcentral.
GACGAACGCUGGCGGCGUGCUUAACACAUGCAAGUCGAACGCUGAAGACCUGGCUUUUGUUGGGUUGGAUGAGUGGCGAACGGGUGAGUAACACGUGAGUAACCUGCCCUCUUCUUUGGGAUAAAGCCCGGAAACGGGCGCUAAUACUGGAUAUUCACUGAUCUUCGCAUGGGGGUUGGUGGAAAGGUUUGUUCUGGUGGGGGAUGGGCUCGCGGCCUAUCAGCUUGUUGGUGGGGUGAUGGCCUACCAAGGCUUUGACGGGUAGCCGGCCUGAGAGGGUGGCCGGUCACAUUGGGACUGAGAUACGGCCCAGACUCCUACGGGAGGCAGCAGUGGGGAAUAUUGCACAAUGGGCGAAAGCCUGAUGCAGCGACGCCGCGUGAGGGAUGGAGGCCUUCGGGUUGUAAACCUCUUUCGCUCAUGGUCAAGCCGCAACUGUGGGUUGUGGUGAGGGUAGUGGGUAAAGAAGCGCCGGCUAACUACGUG